CCGUAAACGAUGAAUGCUAGGUGUUGGAUGGUUUCCGCCCUUCAGUGCCGCAGCUAACGCAUUAAGCAUUCCGCCUGGGGAGUACGACCGCAAGGUUGAAACUCAAAGGAAUUGACGGGGGCCCGCACAAGCGGUGGAGCAUGUGGUUUAAUUCGAAGCAACGCGAAGAACCUUACCAGGUCUUGACAUCUUUUGAUCACCUGAGAGAUCAGGUUUCCCCUUCGGGGGCAAAAUGACAGGUGGUGCAUGGUUGUCGUCAGCUCGUGUCGUGAGAUGUUGGGUUAAGUCCCGCAACGAGCGCAACCCUUAUGACUAGUUGCCAGCAUUUAGUUGGGCACUCUAGUAAGACUGCCGGUGACAAACCGGAGGAAGGUGGGGAUGACGUCAAAUCAUCAUGCCCCUUAUGACCUGGGCUACACACGUGCUACAAUGGAUGGUACAACGAGUUGCGAGACCGCGAGGUCAAGCUAAUCUCUUAAAGCCAUUCUCAGUUCGGACUGUAGGCUGCAACUCGCCUACACGAAGUCGGAAUCGCUAGUAAUCGCGGAUCAGCACGCCGCGGUGAAUACGUUCCCGGGCCUUGUACACACCGCCCGUCACACCAUGAGAGUUUGUAACACCCGAAGCCGGUGGCGUAACCCUUUUAGGGAGCGAGCCGUCUAAAGUGGGACAAAUGAUUAGGGUGAAGUCGUAACAAGGUAGCCGUAGGAGAACCCUGCGGCUGGAUCACCUCCUUUCUAGACUUG
This 746-nucleotide ribosomal RNA is filed under the name Lactobacillus helveticus. RNAcentral describes it as "bacterial SSU rRNA". It matches the Rfam family "Bacterial small subunit ribosomal RNA", at positions 800 to 1533 of the family's 1533-position model. The record is from RNAcentral. Lineage: Bacteria; Bacillati; Bacillota; Bacilli; Lactobacillales; Lactobacillaceae.